UCCCUGGUGGUCCAGUGGUUAAGACUCUGUGUUUCUAUUGCAGUGGGUGCAGGUUUGAUCCCUGUUCAGGGAA
Molecule: non-coding RNA, 73 nt
Organism: Orcinus orca (killer whale)
Lineage: Eukaryota; Metazoa; Chordata; Mammalia; Artiodactyla; Delphinidae
Source: the annotation of a RefSeq genome assembly